AUGGAAAGAGGAACUACUAUCUUUUUUUUGGGGGGGGGGGGCAAGGAAGUUUUUCUAAAAGCUAUUCUGGAGGUAAUACCACCUUAUGCAAUGUUGGUUUUCAAAUUACCUGAGAAAAUUUGUAAUGGGAUCACUACAACCAUGUCCCAAUACUGGUGGGGAGAUGAUGAUAUGAAGAAACAUAUGCACUGGAUUGCGUGGUGGAAAAUGUGUGUCCCCAAAAAUAGAGAAGGUAUAGGCUUUAGAGAUCUUCAUUGUUUUAAUAUGGCAUUGUUAGCAAUGCAAUGUUGGAGGAUUUUAUCAUAAACUGAUUCGUUAUGUGCAAGGGGGAGCAAAAUAUUUCUCUGA
This 348-nucleotide ribosomal RNA is filed under the name Triticum aestivum (bread wheat). RNAcentral's name for it is "partial small subunit ribosomal RNA". The record is from RNAcentral. Lineage: Eukaryota; Viridiplantae; Streptophyta; Magnoliopsida; Poales; Poaceae.